RNAcentral lists this transfer RNA (89 nucleotides) under Penicillium olsonii. It matches the Rfam family "tRNA". From Rfam's summary of the family: Transfer RNA (tRNA) molecules are approximately 80 nucleotides in length. Their secondary structure includes four short double-helical elements and three loops (D, anti-codon, and T loops). Lineage: Eukaryota; Fungi; Ascomycota; Eurotiomycetes; Eurotiales; Aspergillaceae. The record is from Rfam by way of RNAcentral.
GGGCGUGUGACUCAGUGGUAGAGUGUUCGCUUUGCAUCGAUUCGUCAACAGCUUGCGAAAAGUCCGGUGUUCGAUCCACCGCUCGUCCA